UCACUUCCGCCCCCGCGGCAAAGCAGGAAGGUCGGAGGGCUGGAGAGGUGGGGACCCUGGGGAGGUGGCGGCUCGGAGUCUAGGUGACGGGGCGAGACGGGGCCGGUAGGUGGCGGGAGGGGGGUCGGGCCGGAGCCGGCGGGAGGGCCAGGCCCGGAGGCCCCCACCCUGGCGUGCCCGCCCCGGCCGCGGCUGAGGAGGAGGAGGAGGAGGAUGAUCUCCAGAUACACUCGGAAGGCGGUGCCACAGAGCUUGGAGCUGAAAGGAAUAACAAAACAUGCUCUUAACCAUCAUCCCCCUCCCGAGAAGCUGGAGGAAAUUUCCCCCACCAGUGACAGUCAUGAGAAAGACACAAGUUCCCAAAGCAAGUCUGACAUCACAAGAGAAUCAUCUUUUACAUCAGCCGACACUGGGAAUUCACUGUCUGCUUUUCCAAGUUAUACAGGCGCAGGGAUAUCUACUGAAGGAAGCUUGGACUUCUGGGGAUAUGGUGAACUCGAUCAAAAUGCCACUGAAAAAGUCCAGGCAAUGUUCACAGCCAUUGAUGAACUCUUGUAUGAGCAGAAGUUGAGUGUGCAUACCAAGAGUCUACAAGAAGAGUGCCAACAGUGGACAGCUAGCUUUCCUCACCUCAGGAUUCUAGGUAGGCAGAUAAUCACUCCAAGUGAAGGUUAUAGAUUGUAUCCUAGAUCCCCUUCUGCUGUUUCCGCUUCAUAUGAAACAACCUUGUUUCAAGAAAGAGAUUCUACUAUAUUUGGUAUAAGGGGAAAUAAGUUACAUUUUUCAUCUUCUUAUGCUCAUAAAGCAUCUUUCAUUGCCAAAUCCUCCAGCUUUUGUUCUAUGGAAAGAGAUGAGGAAGACUCUAUAAUUGUCUCAGAAGGAAUAAUUGAAGAAUACCUAGCAUUUGAUCACACAGAUAUGGAAGAGGGAUUUCGUGGGAAGAAAUCAGAAGCAGCUACAGAGAAACAGAAAUUAGGGUAUCCUCCCAUUGCUCCAUUUUACUGCAUGAAAGAAGAUGUCCUUGCUUAUGUGUUUGACAAUGUAUGGAGCAAGGUUGUGAGCUGUAUGGAGCAGUUGACACGUAGUCACUGGGAAGGAUUUGCCUCUGAUGAUGAGAGUAAUGUUGCAGUUACCAGACCAGAUUCAGAAAGUUCCUGUGUGCUGAGUGAACCACAUCCUUUGGUGUUACCACGAGUGCCACAGUCUAAGGUGCUGUCCAUUACGUCAAAUCCGAUGAGUCUCUGUCAAGCAAGCAGUCAUCAGCCAAAUGUAAAUGGUCUCUUGGUUCAUGGGAUGCCUCUACAGCCAAGAAAUCGCUCCCUAAUGGACAAGCUCCUAGAUCUUGAUGACAAGCUACUUAUGAUGCCUGGGUCCAAUACCAUCCUUUCAACUCGAAAUUGGCCAAAUCGAGCUGUGGAGUUUAGUACAUCAUCUCUGUCAUACACAGUGCAGUCCACCAGGAGACGCAAUCCACUGCCACGAACCCUUCAUCCGAUCAGCACGAGCCAUUCACGUGCUAGAACACCAAGACCUGUGGAAGAAAUCCUCAGAGGAGCCCGAGUCCCACUGGCAGCCGACUCGCUCUCCUCUCCCUCACCGAUGCCCCUGAGUCGACAUAAUCUGCUACCACCUAUUGGCACAGCUGAAGUGGAACAUGUGAGCACUGUGGGGUCACAAGGACAGAUGGUAUGUUUCUUUCAUAUUGCCUCUCCACGUACUUACUAUACAACCUCAUGGGCAGUAAUUCUGCAGGAUCUGUGCCCUGAUCUUGAUUUAUACUGUGUUUUGUCAAAAGUACAAACAGAGUGCUAAUUUAUGAGGUGGAAUUGGAGCUGUUUGGCCUGCACUUACCAUAUCUGCCAUGGUCGAUAGGGUUUUAACUACAUACCACACUACAGAUAGUUUUCACUGUUUCUGUAACUUUUGUCUCCUCUGCAGAAACCCCACGGCGACUCUAGUCGAGCUCAAAGUGCAGUGGUGGAUGAACCUAACUAUCAGCAGCCACAAGAAAGGCUCCUUUUGCCCGACUUUUUCCCCAGGCCCAACACAACUCAAUCAUUUUUGCUGGAUACACAGUAUCGUCACUCAUGUGCAGUUGAGUAUCCUCAUCAGGCCCGACCUGGUAGGGGAUCUGCAGGUCCUCAGUUACAUGGGUCUACAAAAUCUCAAAGUAGAGGCGGACCAGUCUCUCGAACCAGGCAGGGACCAUAAGGCAAAUGAGAAGACCUAUCAGGCUGCAGGAAACACGAGAUUUCAUGAAGCGGUAUUCAGUCAUUAAGUGAUGCAGAGCUUGUAUAGAAGAUCGACUAGAAGAUCGACUAGAAACCAUCUUCAUGAAGAGUGAUUUUGGCACAAGUGACUGAAGAAUAAAACACUAUAGCGGCCAAAAAUGA
Molecule: RNA transcript, 2393 nt
Organism: Nomascus leucogenys (northern white-cheeked gibbon)
Lineage: Eukaryota; Metazoa; Chordata; Mammalia; Primates; Hylobatidae
Gene: FAM149B1
Gene name: family with sequence similarity 149 member B1
Exons: 13
Source: RefSeq, a predicted model, not a curated record